UACAUAGGGAGCAAGCGUUAUCCGGAUUUAUUGGGUGUAAAGGGUGCGUAGACGGGAAAUUAAGUUAGUUGUGAAAUCCCUCGGCUUAACUGAGGAACUGCAACUAAAACUGAUUUUCUUGAGUACUGGAGAGGAAAGUGGAAUUCCUAGUGUAGCGGUGAAAUGCGUAGAUAUUAGGAGGAACACCAGUGGCGAAGGCGGCCGCCUGGCCUGUUGCUGACGCUGAGGCACGAAAGCGUGGGGAGCAAAUAGG
Molecule: ribosomal RNA, 253 nt
Filed under: uncultured Eubacteriales bacterium
Lineage: Bacteria; Bacillati; Bacillota; Clostridia; Eubacteriales
Description: uncultured Clostridiales bacterium partial 16S ribosomal RNA
Rfam family: Bacterial small subunit ribosomal RNA
Source: RNAcentral